RNAcentral lists this ribosomal RNA (408 nucleotides) under uncultured bacterium. RNAcentral's name for it is "bacterial SSU rRNA". It matches the Rfam family "Bacterial small subunit ribosomal RNA", at positions 505 to 916 of the family's 1533-position model. The record is from RNAcentral.
GUGGCAGCCGCCGCGGUAAUACGGAGGGUGCAAGCGUUAUCCGGAUUCAUUGGGUUUAAAGGGUGCGCAGGCGGAUACUUAAGUCAGUGGUGAAAUCCCGGGGCUCAACCCCGGAACUGCCAUUGAUACUGAAUAUCUGGAAUACGGUUGAAGUGGGCGGAAUGUAGCAUGUAGCGGUGAAAUGCAUAGAGAUGCUACAGAACACCGAUCGCGAAGGCAGCUCACUAAGCCGAUAUUGACGCUCAGGCACGAAAGCGUGGGGAGCGAACAGGAUUAGAUACCCUGGUAGUCCACGCCGUAAACGAUGAUAACUCGUUGUUGGCGACACACAGUCAGCGACUAAGCGAAAGCGAUAAGUUAUCCACCUGGGGAUACGAUCGCAAGGUUGAAACUCAAAGGAAUUGACGG